Molecule: ribosomal RNA, 615 nt
Filed under: uncultured Cantharellales
Lineage: Eukaryota; Fungi; Basidiomycota; Agaricomycetes; Cantharellales
Description: eukaryotic LSU rRNA
Source: RNAcentral
CCUGUGCAUUUGUGAGACGGGAGGGUCUGUUUUAUUAUGGACCUUUUCGUCUAUUAAACUACACAAACUCAUUUAUUUUGAACCGAAUGUAAUUGAUGUAACACAUCAUUUAAAACAAAGUUUCAACAACGGAUCUCUUGGCUCUCGCAUCGAUGAAGAACGCAGCGAAAUGCGAUAAGUAAUGUGAAUUGCAGAAUUCAGUGAAUCAUCGAAUCUUUGAACGCACCUUGCGCUCCUUGGUAUUCCUUGGAGCAUGCCUGUUUGAGUAUCAUGAAAUUNUCAAAGCAAGCCUUUUGUUAAUUCAAUUGGUCUUCUUGCUUUGGACUUGGAGGCUUGCAGAUUUCACAGUCUGCUCCUCUUAAAUUCAUUAGCUGGAUCUCAGUAUAUGCUCGGUUCCACUCGGCGUGAUAARUAUCACUCGCUGAGGACACUGUAAAAGGUGGCCGGGAAAUGCAGACGAACCGCUUCUAAUAGUCUAUUAAAUUAGACAAUACUCUAAGAUCUGAUCUCAAAUCAGGUAGGACUACCCGCUGAACUUAAGCAUAUCAAUAAGCGGAGGAAAAGAAACUAACAAGGAUUCCCCUAGUAACGGCGAGUGAAGCGGGAAGAGCUCAA